GACGAACGCUGGCGGCGUGCCUAAUACAUGCAAGUCGAGCGCAGGAAACUGACGGAACUCUUCGGAGGGAAGGCAGUGGAAUGAGCGGCGGACGGGUGAGUAACACGUAAGGAACCUGCCUCAAGGAUUGGGAUAACUCCGAGAAAUCGGAGCUAAUACCGGAUAGUUCAUCGGACCGCAUGGUCCGUUGAUGAAAGGCGCUCCGGCGUCACCUUGAGAUGGCCUUGCGGUGCAUUAGCUAGUUGGUGGGGUAACGGCCCACCAAGGCGACGAUGCAUAGCCGACCUGAGAGGGUGAUCGGCCACACUGGGACUGAGACACGGCCCAGACUCCUACGGGAGGCAGCAGUAGGGAAUCUUCCACAAUGGACGAAAGUCUGAUGGAGCAACGCCGCGUGAGUGAUGAAGGUUUUCGGAUCGUAAAGCUCUGUUGUAAGGGAAGAACACGUACGAGAGGAAAUGCUCGUACCUUGACGGUACCUUACGAGAAAGCCACGGCUAACUACGUGCCAGCCGCCGCCGUAA
This 524-nucleotide ribosomal RNA is filed under the name uncultured bacterium. RNAcentral's name for it is "partial 16S ribosomal RNA". It matches the Rfam family "Bacterial small subunit ribosomal RNA", at positions 28 to 523 of the family's 1533-position model. The record is from RNAcentral.